Molecule: long non-coding RNA, 3764 nt
Filed under: Marmota monax (woodchuck)
Lineage: Eukaryota; Metazoa; Chordata; Mammalia; Rodentia; Sciuridae
Rfam family: Z30 small nucleolar RNA (bases 3371-3467)
Source: RNAcentral
ACCCAGGGGCCGCGCUGGGCUGUGGGAUGCGGACCCAGGAGCUAGGUAGAGGGAAGAGGACGCGGGAAGCAGCCAUGGCUGAGGUCGGAGAGUCUGGGGCUUGGCUGCCAUCAGUCUCCCAGGCGAGGACGUGACUGCUGAGAGUCUGGAUCGUAGGAGGUUUAGGCGUUCGGAAAGCGGGUUGUGGAUACCUGCCUGGGCUUUUGAUUUGAGCCCUGGCUUCGGCCUUACUCCUGUUUCUCCCCGCCAAGGACGGCUUCAGUCGUUCUUGGAAUUGGCGGGGUUUGGACCUUAACUUUAUUUGAGAAUCUACUGCGUGUAAGCACGGUUGUCCUGCGGAGGGAUCUCUUCAGAGCGUGUGAGCUUGAGGGUGGGGGAAUGAGGGCUUGGAGACGCUGAGGUGUGGUCCUUACCCACGUGACACAUUGGAGGUAAAUCCGCUUUAUUAAUUAUGCUAAGCUUUUAUAUAAUCCAGAAGUUUAGGCUUUGGUAGGGUCGGUCGCCCAUUGACUGAAUUAAACGCUCUUGUAUUGAACUCCUUCUAAGUACCCUUUACGGAAACUAGUCCUUAUUCUUUAGGAACUCCUAACAGGACUGGUGGGAGAGAGGGGAGAAAACGUGAGUGGAUGAGGUGGCAGGUGAUGCGUGCUGUGGUGGAAGAAAAUGCUGUGAGAGUCAGAGAAAGGUUUGACUGGGGGAAAUAGAAAAGGUGACAUUUGAGUAAUCCUAAAAUCAAACUUAGGGAUUCUCCCCAUUGAAUGGAAUAAUGGAAGGCACUCCAGUGUAGCAGAGUGUACGUACAGACCAGAGAAAUUAGGAAGAUUUAUCUGUUGGUUAUGGCUGGAGCAAAGCUUGAAUUCCAUGUUAGGAGUCUUUCUGGAUCUUAAAACACAACGUAAGAUAGGUUCCACAAGAUAGUAUUCACAUGCUUCUGUAAUUCAGAGGAAGGCCAGAUACUUCCUUUUGGAUGAUGGCUUUAUGCAAAGUGUCAUUUUGGAGGGUCACAAACUGGAGAGGUGGGAUUGCUGUAUGGGAAGGAUUUCUACUAAGGGAAAUAAGAACUUCCUGCAUGGAAGGCACAAGGUCAAAUAGCGGAUUUAAGAAGAGUAUGGGUUGGGUAGACUGUAAAGUACAUGUUAGGGUUAUGGUAUUAAAGAUACAUCUAGGGCUGGGGAUGUGGCUCAAGUGGUAGCACGCACGCUUGCCUGGCAUGCGUGCGGCCUGGGUUCGAUCCUCAGCACCACAUACAAACAAAGAUGUUGUGUCCGCCGAGAACUAAAAAAUAAAUAAAUAUUUAAAAAAAUUAAAAAAAAAAAAGAUACAUCUAGGUCUGUUUUGUUUUGGUUUGGGUGCUGGGGAUUGAACUCAAGGCUUCAUGCGUGGGUCAGUAUUGAAACAUGGAGAAUGCUAAGCAUAGCAGUUUGGGUUUUAUUUCUUGGACCAUGGGGAAUAAUUGAAUGCUUGAGAGUAAUGAAAUAAUCACACCCCCAUAUUUUAAGGUUAGUGAGGGUGUACGUUGGAUGGGAGAAAAGCUGGAGGCAGUCUGGUCUAGUAGAAGGAACAAAAAUCAGGCAGUCAUGGGCUGGGGUUGUAGCUCAUUGGUAGAGUGCUUGCCUACCACAGGUGAAGCACUGGGUUUGAUCCCAGCAUCACAUAAAAAUAAAUAAAUAAAUAAAGUUAUUGUGUCCAUCUACAACUAAAAAUAUAUAUGAUUCAGAGCUCAGGAUUCCUAUAGAUUUCAUGAUUUUAGGCAGAUUUAUUUAAAUUAAGCUCUCAGUUCCCCCUCCCCACCAUUUCUGACAUAUUUGUUACACUUGUAAGGGAUGAAGAGCUAGCCCAUGUUUGACAGGAACCUAGUUAGUUUCUGUCUCCUUAUAGGGCUUAGUUGUUGAAAGACAAACAUAGAUCAAAAGCUGUCCAUUUUUAAUUAUGGAAUAUCAGUCUAUUGACAUUUUACAGACAGGAAGUAAGUAUAUGAUCACUCCAGAAUUGUAAUUCACAUAUUGACAAUAUGAUGACAAAUGUGUGGAGAAAGUGACUUUGUGAUACUGGUAUUUUUCUAUGUAAGCAAUAGUAUACAACCAGAAUAUAUCACUUGGAAUAAACUAAGUGUAGUCAGCUUUCUCAUUCAGAAAUUCAUUAUUCACGUUGUAGAUUACUCAGGAUUUGCCUUGCUUGCCAAUGGCCUCCCACAUUAGUGAAGGAUAGGAACCUGGAUGCUAUUAGUAGAAAAAUAAAUCUGAUAAUCAGGCCCAGUUUCUCUCUGAUGUUAAUUUGCUGUAGACUUUUGGCAAAUCAUAGCCUGAGUCUUGGAUUCUUAAAUUAGAAGAUUAUUGUAUAAAAAUUUUGUGACUGUAUUUUUGCUUGUUUUAGAGAGAGGGUCUUGGCUGACCUCUAAUUCCUGACCUCAAGUGAUUGGAAUUCCUGCCUUAGCCUCUCAGGUAGCUGGGACCACAGGCAUGUGUUACCAUGUCCAAAAGCAUUGUGAUUUUUAUCUUUCCUGGUAGAAUUAUAAAUUGAAUUUUAUAUUUAAUGAACUGGACUUUAUAAUAUUCUUUUUUGUUUUCUUUUUGGUACCGGGGAUUGAACUCAGGGGUACUUGACCACUGAGCCACAUCCCUAUCUCUAUUUUGUAUUUAGAGACAGGGUCUCACUGAGUUGCUUAGUGCCUCGCAGUUGCUGAGGCUGGCUUUGAACUUGUGAUCCUCCUGCCUCAGCCUUCUGAGCUACUGGGAUUACAGGGGUGGGCCACAGUGCCCGGCUUGGACUUUAUAAUUUAGUAAGAAAGUCUUUUCUAAAGCUUCUGCUUUAGAACUAUAAAUUCUAUAAAUUUUUUUUUUUUUUUUGGUGCCGGGGAUUGAACUCAUGGGCAUUUAACCACUGAACCACAUCCCCAUCCUUUUUUUGUAAUUUAUUCAAAGACAGGGUCUCAAUGAGUUGCUUAGGGCCUUGAUAAAUUGCUGAGACUGGUUUUGAACUCGGUGAUCUUCUAUCUCAGCCUCCCAAGCUGCUGGAAUUACAGGCAUGUGUCACCACACCCGGCUUAUAAAUUCUUAACAAACAUCCCUGAGAUUUUAUCAUGCAUGGAGUCAGGGCUCUUUUAAACAAAACAAAAAAAGUGUUUCUGAAUGGUAAAUGCUUCUCUACUUGCCUCUGCUUCAAAAUAAAAAAGUUCCCCCCCAAAACAAAACUUGGUCAAGUUUGCAUUUUUGUACAGCAGAGUUACUGAAAGCAUAGUAAAGAUAAAAUAUUGGAAUCCCAUGAUUGAAAAAUAUCUAAAAAGAAACUUGUUUUUCAUAGGUAAGCCUAAGUUUUCUUGGAUGUGUAGGACAUUCAGCUGCUUUUAGGUAAUACAAGGUGAAAUGUAGUGAUGCAAUGAUGAGCGAAGUAUAGACUGACCUGGUAUUGCCAUUGCUUUAAUGUUGGCUUUGACCAGGGUAUGAUCCCUUAAUCUUCUCUCUGAGCUGAUUCUGGUUGUGGUUUUAGAACACACAUGUUCUAGCUUGUUUGGAUAUUGGUGUUAUUAUGUAUAAGUUUGUUUUUGAUAAAUGUUUGAAUUAUUGAUACUUUCAUAUUUCUCUUUUUAGGUUGAGGUGGAAAAUCUGGCUUUGAAAUCUUCGUGAAGGACUGCAUCAUUUCAAUCCUGAAUCUGAAUCAGUUCCCUUAUUGACUGUAUGAAAAAUGUUUUCAUUAACUGUGUUAUUUGUUUGGUAAAACCUUGGAGGUUUUAUAAAUUAAAAAAAAUAUAUGUACUCUUUUGUGGU